RNAcentral lists this long non-coding RNA (327 nucleotides) under Bos taurus (domestic cattle). RNAcentral describes it as "long non-coding RNA NONBTAT000280". Lineage: Eukaryota; Metazoa; Chordata; Mammalia; Artiodactyla; Bovidae. The record is from RNAcentral.
GAGCCAUUGUGGUUACAAGGGAGGUAUCGAUGGCCGUUAGAAUUCUUGGGAUUGAGCAUCUUCACAGCAGAUAGGACAGUGCAAAAGCCAAAACUAUGAUACCAAGACUGAAAUCAGCCUGCCAAUUUUAAUUUACCGGACCCUAAAGACUCAGUUGUUUUAUUUUUUCCUCCUCCAGAAUAAAAGUCAUAUCUUUCAAAAGAUUUAAGUGGAUUUUGAGAGAGAAAUUAAAAAAUGUUCUCUAAAAACAUGGCCCAAGAGCCCUUUAUUAUUAAAGAUUAAAACUAAUAUUCAAGUCAUUUUAGAAGAAUCAGGGUAAAAAUUUGG